RNAcentral lists this transfer RNA (103 nucleotides) under Aspergillus sergii. RNAcentral describes it as "tRNA-Ser". It matches the Rfam family "tRNA". From Rfam's summary of the family: Transfer RNA (tRNA) molecules are approximately 80 nucleotides in length. Their secondary structure includes four short double-helical elements and three loops (D, anti-codon, and T loops). Further hydrogen bonds mediate the characteristic L-shaped molecular structure. tRNAs have two regions of fundamental functional importance: the anti-codon, which is responsible for specific mRNA codon recognition, and the 3' end, to which the tRNAs corresponding amino acid is attached (by aminoacyl-tRNA synthetases). tRNAs cope with the degeneracy of the genetic code in two manners: having more than one tRNA (with a specific anti-codon) for a particular amino acid; and 'wobble' base-pairing, i.e. permitting non-standard base-pairing at the 3rd anti-codon position. The record is from RNAcentral. Lineage: Eukaryota; Fungi; Ascomycota; Eurotiomycetes; Eurotiales; Aspergillaceae.
GGCACUAUGGCGGAGUGGUUAACGCGAUGCCCUGCUAUACCCAUUACGUGGCUUAGUCUAGGCAUUUCCCUCGGGAGCGUGAGUUCGAAUCUCACUGGUGUCG